Molecule: ribosomal RNA, 830 nt
Filed under: uncultured soil archaeon
Lineage: Archaea
Description: bacterial SSU rRNA
Rfam family: Archaeal small subunit ribosomal RNA
Source: RNAcentral
ACCUGACUGCUAUCGGAUUGGUACUAAGCCAUGCGAGUCAUUGUAGCAAUACAAGGCGGACGGCUCAGUAACACGUAGUCAACCUAACUCGUGGACGUGGAUAACCUCGGGAAACUGAGAAUAAACCACGAUAGAUCAUAGUGCCUGGAAUGGCUUAUGGUCCAAACAGUUUACUGCCAUGGGAUGGGACUGCGGCCUAUCAGCUUGUUGGUGAGGUAAUGGCCCACCAAGGCGAUUACAGGUACGGGCUCUGAGAGGAGAAGUCCGGAGAUGGGUACUGAGACACGGACCCAGGCCCUAUGGGGCGCAGCAGGCGAGAAACCUUAGCAAUGUGCGAAAGCACGACUGGGUCGGUCCGAGUGAUUCCUGAUAAAGGAGUCUUUUGCCUGUCCUAAAAGCACAGGUGAAUAAGGGGUGGGCAAGUCUGGUGUCAGCCGCCGCGGUAAUACCAGCACCUCGAGUGGUCAGGACGUUUAUUGGGCCUAAAGCAUCCGUAGCCGGCUCUGCAAGUCUUCGGUUAAAUCCACCUGCUCAACAGAUGGGCCGCUGGAGAUACUACAGAGCUAGGGAGUGGGAGAGGCAGACGGUAUUCAGUGGGUAGGGGUAAAAUCCUCUGAUCCAUUGAGGACCACCAGUGGCGAAGGCGGUCUGCCAGAACACGUUCGACGGUGAGGGAUGAAAGCUGGGGGAGCAAACCGGAUUAGACACCCGGGUAGUCCCAGUUGUAAACGAUGCAAACUCGGUGAUGCAUUGGCUUAUGGCCAAUGCAGUGCCGCAGGGAAGCCGUUAAGUUUGCCGCCUGGGAAGUACGGACGCAAGUCUGAAACUUA